Molecule: unclassified non-coding RNA, 1182 nt
Filed under: Hevea brasiliensis (rubber tree)
Lineage: Eukaryota; Viridiplantae; Streptophyta; Magnoliopsida; Malpighiales; Euphorbiaceae
Source: RNAcentral
AAAAAAUCUAUGCUUAUUGUUGGAUUGUCAAUUUGUCAUGGAUCCUAUGAUGAACUUAAUACCAUCGAGAUACCUUUCCAUACUAGGUGUUUCUUUCAUUUUUUUAAUUGUAGAAAAGAACCAUAUUUUAAUGGACUUCACAUUCAUGUAUUUGAACAUACUUCAAAAGAAUGCAGAAUUAAGUGUGCAUAUGUCUUUGAGCAUAACUAUUAGCUAAUGCGAUAAAAGCUCAAAAGCCAAGAAAAAGAUAAAUUUAGCCCUACUGCCCCAAUUCUUCUGAUUCUUUUUCACCUGCAUGGUCAUAGCUUUUCAUUCUCACCCAUGCCAUUUGUGCUUCACCACUUCUCUAGAAAAUCAUUGGAGAUCUCAAAAAAAUUUUGGCCUAACCCACGUCCAUGUUGCCCUUCUCUGUGUGUGUUUUUUAAGGCUUCAGCCAUGCCAUUUGGGCUCCACCACUUUCCUAAAAAAUCAUUGGAGGUCUUUAAAAAUGUUUGGUUGACCCACUUUCUUGCCCUGAUCAGUAUUCUUUUAGGCAUUUCUCUUAUCCUAGUUAUGGUGGCUUGAAUUUACACCUAACCACAUAUUAAUGGUCAUAACUUUGCCAGAAAUAGUUGCUUGGAUAUAAUCUAAUGAUCCAAAUUUUCAUUUGAUCUCAUAUCUGUAAACCCAAAAUUGCCAGUGGCUCGGUCGAGUGUUUUGCAAUUUUGGGCCCCUUGCUCCUUGAAGUGUGUUGAAGGAUGGAUAGAAAUUUAGAUUUAUAUGUCAUGUUCGAGUUAAAAUAGUCUUUUGACAGACAUGAUUAUGGUACAAUGAAUUAUCUGUGCAUGUUAAAGAAAUAGGAUAAAUAUAUUAGUGGUGUCUGAACUUUUUAAAAUUGGACAAUUUAGCAUCUUACCUUUUUUUAUUUUUGGUUAUCAAGCAAGUGUUUGAAUGGAGAAAACUAUUUCAGUCAAAUGAAUUUGCCAGAUUUACUCACUGAAAUACUAAAAUUGACAAAUUUAACCUUAUGAAUAAUAUUACCAACAAAAGAUGCUAGAUAUGUAAAACUAAACAUUUUUUAGUAAAAACAUAAGAUAUGUAACAAUAUAUUCAAGAUAAAAACAUUUAACCAAAUUAUGAUCGCUGGUUCUAUUUAAUUAAUUAAUUAAUUUUUUGUUUAUAUUGUUUGGGAUAAAGGCUUAG